GGAGCUGAAGCUUAGUGGUAGAGCACUUGCCUAGCAUGCAUGAGGCACUGGGUUCAAUCCCCAGCACCA
RNAcentral lists this transfer RNA (69 nucleotides) under Ictidomys tridecemlineatus (thirteen-lined ground squirrel). RNAcentral's name for it is "Spermophilus tridecemlineatus (thirteen-lined ground squirrel) tRNA". It matches the Rfam family "tRNA". Rfam says of the family: Transfer RNA (tRNA) molecules are approximately 80 nucleotides in length. Their secondary structure includes four short double-helical elements and three loops (D, anti-codon, and T loops). Lineage: Eukaryota; Metazoa; Chordata; Mammalia; Rodentia; Sciuridae. The record is from Rfam by way of RNAcentral.